CAGUCGCCACGGGAAUACCAGCAGCCCAAGUGGUGGUCGCGAUUAUUGGGCCUAAAGCGCUCGUAGCCGGGCCGGUAAGUCCCUUGUGAAAUCGGACGGCCUAACCGUUCGGCGUGCAAAGGAUACUGUCGGUCUUGAGGCCGGGAGACGUCCGAGGUACUCCGGGGGUAGCGGUGAAAUGUUCUGAUCCUCGGGGGACCACCGGUGGCGAAGGCGUUCGACGAGAACGGGCCUGACGGUGAGGGGCGAAGGCUAGGGGAGCAAACGGGAUUAGAUACCCGGGUAGUCCCUGUCUCUUAUA
This 301-nucleotide ribosomal RNA is filed under the name uncultured bacterium. RNAcentral describes it as "partial 16S ribosomal RNA". It matches the Rfam family "Archaeal small subunit ribosomal RNA", at positions 459 to 759 of the family's 1478-position model. The record is from RNAcentral.